Molecule: non-coding RNA, 8849 nt
Organism: Heterocephalus glaber (naked mole-rat)
Lineage: Eukaryota; Metazoa; Chordata; Mammalia; Rodentia; Bathyergidae
Source: RefSeq, a predicted model, not a curated record
AUCUUUCUCUCUAACCUUCAGCCUGUUCGCCUUUCACAUAGGCACAGUGACACUUCACAGCAUGGUGGGGAAGCUUCAAGACAAAGCCUCCACUGACAUGGGGGCUGGAGUCUAAAGGGAGAUUUCGUUGGAUGUGCACCUGGGUGAGAGAUGGAGACGUUUGCAGAAGGAGUGACCGACGUGAAAGACUACAUUGUCUGGGUCAAUAGAGAAGAAAGUAAAGGAUGCGACUAGGGGUCUUGCUGUCCAUAUACCUUGAUAGUACAGACCUCUGGAUUUUCCCAUCUAUUGGAACAUGAUCACAUCUAACCACCCUCUGCAAGGCUCACAGUAGCUGACUGGGAAUGGAAUGCAGUAUCACAAAUGGAGCAUGAGGCUCAGUUGUUAUGAUUUGAUCCAACAGUGCUUCAGCCAGACCUUCUUGAAAAACAAAAAAUGGAGAAUACCUUAUGCCAUGGCACCAAGUUGCCAAGAAAAUGACUCCUGGAGUGAUUUCUUCCAAGACAGCUCACAUUCACAGCAGGGAACAUAACUACAGAGGAGGAGAGUGGCAGCUGCUGCCUGUGAAUUCAUGCUGAUCUGGGGGAGGCUUCAUAUCCCACACAUAGGCUCUGUGAAUGCUCACGGAUAUAGGGAUGGCUUAACCGUGGGAGAUAAUGUGUCAUGACAAAGUAUUCUUUCUGAAGACCCUUUCAUCACUUAUAUGGCUGCUGCCAAGAACAGAUACCAGGACAAAGACCUACAAAUUGGCCAAUGAUAUCUAUGGUUGGAACAUUAUAUUUUUCUAGUAGUAUCUGAGAGCAUUGGGAAAGCCUUGGAUUUGAAAAGUGCUCCAAGAAGGUGAGCCUGCUUCAUAGUGGUGACAGUGGAGGACAGAAGAUACUUCCUCUUCAGAAGUAGGGGAUGGAUGAACAGCAGGAAGAAAAAAAAACUUAUUACCUGGAGCAUAAGAAAUAUUGUGCCAGUGCCCUUUAACCUCCAUCAUGCAAAAUCUAUGAUUUGAAAACACAGUUGGGUUUAUGUUCUUCGAGGAGCUUUACUUGUAUGCGGCACCCUAUUUCUAAAGAUUUAAAAGAUGGGUACAUGUGUCUGAGAAGACCAAGAGAGCACUAAGUAAGUGUAAGGUUGUUCUAGCGUGAAGAUUCAGCUUUGCUUCAGCAGACAGAUGCUUUUGUAAGAUCGACUGUACCAUGUAAUUCCUGAACUUAUUUUCUAUUUUCUUCCCAUAUGGGUUCAUGUCUAUGGCCUAAAGAUAUACUGCAAUUUUUCCAUCUCAUCUCAUACUUGAUGGAAUAAGACUGGAAUAGCUCUAUUAAGCUUUGUUAAAAAUUUUUGGAAUCUUAGAAAAAUAUAAUAUUUCAAUAUGACUUUACAGGCACACAAAAAAUUCCAAAUCAGCCCAUCAAUCACUGAACACAUUUUAAUGGCUUUCUGAACAAGUAUCAAAAUAACAUUUAUAACCAAGUAUAUUCAGUGAAUUUGAUUUUGAACUUCUGAUUAUUUUAAGAAUCAAAAUAAAAUGGAAGAUAUUUGAAAAAUAAAUAGAUGCAUAAAAAUUAAAUGAAUUACUGGGUGAACACAUGUUUUGAAGAGAUACUUGGGCAAAUAUUUAUGUUUAAUAUUAUGUUAGUUAUAUAUAUUUAAAAUAUGUUCGUCAGUUUAUUCUGCAACUUUUCUUCCUUUGUAGCACACUGGAGAUGUAGAGUGCUACGAAAAUAUCCUAAAAUUCCUUCAUAGUGAUCUUAAUUAUAUUUUAUAAAUUAUUUUUUCUUUUUGUAUCCUGUUAAUAACAUCCCAUUAAUUAACAAUUUGAGGGCAGCAGGCCACUUUAUUAAUAACAUUAUCACUGGCAGUUGAGUUAUUUACAGUAUAAUGUUAAUCUUGGUCCCCUUUUUAUUUUAAAUAAAAAAAUGUGUUAAUGAUUUAUAAAAAUAUAAGGAAAUUAUAAAAUUAUUCAAUGUGCUAUAAACUCCAAAAUCAUUACUGACAUUUUACAAAUGUACUUGAAUGAGAGAAUAAUUAUAACUCAAUUGCUCUUUGUCUCUUAUAAUAUGUGUUGUCCUGUAGUCUGGUAGAAAAACUAAAUAAUACAAUAUAAACAAAGGAAAAGGGAGAAUUCAGCUGCUCAUGAGAUGAUGAGCACUUCAUUUCAGGAAUACUUGAACAGAAGCUUGCUGAUUUCUCGGAAGCAGUGUGGUAGGAAGGAGUGUUGAUGAGAUAGAAGAGAGAAUAUGUGUCUAGGUCCUUCCAUUUUUGAAUUUCCAUAAUCCUUACCAGCUCCAUAUUUCCUACAGAGGUAAUUGUUAUCUCCUACUGAUGGUCUAUCAAGAAAGUCGAUGACUAAAAAUGAAUUGAAACAGGAAGCUUUGGCCUUACACAGGUGGGGUAGGGGAUUUUUUCCCAGGGCAUAAUUGGUUUGAAUGUCUUCAUACACAAACAAGAAACACCAGGAAGAAAAAGUUCACCAAAGGAAUAAGGAAAUUUAUUGUGUCACAGUAAAAAUUCUGUCGAUAGCUUUUUCAUGGUUUCAUGGUUUGUUUUGCAGCACAAGAAGCCCUCACCCACCCAAGCCCCUUCUAUCUUUCUGAGUUGUCAUCUACAGUGCAUCCUCGGUCUGCUUCCUGGCCGGAAGACUACAGACUGAGCUCUCAGCAUCAGACCUCUUCGUACAAAGUGUCAAAGAUAGAAGGGUUGAGGCUGGAGUGGGUUAUGGAGCGACAAAGCUUCUAUCCUAGCAGAUAUCCUUUUAUGAGAGAGAAAAGUGUUUCUAUGUGCCCUCUAGUAGACAGUCCGUUCUGGCUUCCAGGAAAAAUAGGAAUUAAAUAUAUUAAAAAUCUAGCAUCUUUGCCCUCAGAGCUUUUGGGCUUUGACAUUGAGGAAGAGAGGAUUGGAAAUAGCUGUGCAGUAGGGGACAAAGUGUCUUUGACAAAUUGCAAGAGUACUGCUGCUCUCACCAAAGGGGUUCUCAAUGUAUUUCCUAAUCAUAGUCUUCUUUUACUGAUGCCAAUAAAUAUAUAUUAUUUAUUUCAUUCCAAGAGCAUGGAGUUUAAAUAGACAACUGUCAAGACAGAGCAAACACCCCAGAAAUAAACUUAGAGCAAUUGAUGGUACCCUCUUUUGUUUAUAUAGUUCUUAGCUAAAUAGUAUCCCUGCCAGAGCUGUGCUUCAGUUUGUUCCAGUGAUUUCUUCAUUCCUUGUGGAGUCUAUAGGUGGAUAGGGGGUUCUCUUCAACACACAGCUGUUUCAUAGUCAUUCUUCACAUCUUACCUUUCACUCCUUGCAUUGCUUAAGUCUUUGCCUCUCUGUUCUCCUUUUUGCCUCUGUCAGAUAAUCAAAACUAGUGCUAAUUGGCACCUGCCUCACAAGUGCAAGGAACCGAGUUCGAUCCCUUGUACCAAAAAAAAAAAGCUCAAAAAAAACCUAGUGCUAAAAAAACUAAGAUCCACAGGUAUUUAUAGAGGAGGACUGGCAGAGCAAGGAGGACAUGGAGAUAUGUUAAUAUGGAGCUUUUAGAGCAAGAAUCCUGCUCCCCGUUCCCCAGCAUGAGACAGCUAUGCACCCUUUGGUUGAAACUGGAGAAAACUAGAGCCAGUGGGUGAGGUGGUGACUGACAGGUGCCACCUUUAUUAACUGAGCCAAAAAUAAGUGAGGAAAAUAAAAGAAGGGGAGGGAGCAGGACUGCAAUGACCGAUGGUUGAAUGAGCUAGGGCUUAUUUGCUAGGAGACAAGAGGGCUCUUGGUAUGUUCCCAGCAUGAGGGAAUCAGCACGCAUGAAAUAGAAGAGAGCUGGCAAUGAGGUGAUUUAAGUGGGUGAGACAAAUAAAACUCCACUGUCCCUUCCUGGGGUACAUGGCUUUCUAACUAUUAAAAUGUUUUGAGUGGAAUUUUAGGGGAUCUCUCACCUGAACUUUGAUAACUCACAAGGAUAGUCACGACUUACCAAGAGGAAGUUGCCAAACAAACCAACAAACCCAAUGUUCUUUAAAGAUUUUACUGGAAGGAUCAGCUCCUGUCUUUGAUAAAAGCCCAGUUCACUAUCUGAGUGUAAUCCCUGCCUCUCCUCGUGGAACCAUUAUGAGCAUUUCUUGUAGUGGCUCAUAAAAUAUGUUCUUUUCAGUCAGGCUGCAUAGCCCGCUCUCCCACCCAACACAACUCUCUGAUAAUUAAAAUAAAUAGAAUUUUAGAACAAGUUCUUAGGUCUGUGCACAAUGCCUGAUUCAGGAAAAUAUUGUUCUGGAAUUGCAUUGUGUGUUGGAUUUCUGAGAUAAACCAUCUGUGCCGGAAUUAUAUUAAUUCCAGUUGAUGCUAUUUUCUAAUAAGAAUAAACUAUUUAAAUAUUUUAGUAAUCAGUACUGCCCUAAUAGUAAAUACUGGCUAACCAAUAGCCAUAGUUCUAUCCUAUGUCAAUAGUACUAUCCAUAUUCUGGUUUCCUCUGUGAAAACAAAAUAUAUAUAUUAGAGACUCCUCUUACAAAAUAUUAUAUUUUCCAUGACUAAUAAUAUAUUUCUGGAUUUCUACACUUUCACAUUUCUUUUCAGGUGUUUAUAGAUAAGUAAUGAGAUCUUAACUUUAUAGGUAAAAAGGAUUAUUAGUUUUGAGGUAAUCUGUGUCAUUAACAACUUCAUGAAAAGCUACAGUUGUACACACUUGUUGAAGAGGAAUGAGGUACUGUACUAGAUGCUUUAUUGGCUUGAUAGGAUUUUUCUUGAAUUUCAUUUAAUUCCAUAAUCUUUGACCAAAGUCUGGUUAUGGAAUAACAAAUGUGACAUUGUCUUAUGACUUCCACUGCAAUAUGUACAAUUUGUAUAAACAUAAGCCAAUGUUUGGCUUUGGAAAGACUUUGUACAAACAUAAGCUAGUGUUUGGUCUGGAAAGCCAGUUUGUACAAACAUAGACACCCACCCACACAAAUUGUAACUCCAUUCCAAAAUAUGCACAACCCAAGGGAAAAGAAUAAAGUGUGGUGGAAGGACUAUAACCUUGAGCCACAGAGAGAACCAAAGUGAAUUCUGCCUCUGCCACUUUCUUACUCUGUGAAUUUAGAGUUUAUUUAAAUCAUAUCAACCACACUUUCUCAAUCAUUUCCUUAUUCAAUAUUUUUGAAUAGCUUGCUUAAGACAAAAGGUCAGGAGGCAUCAUGGGAAGAUCAUGGACCAAGAAUUGAAAUGAAUAUUUAUAUCUGUACACCACCUGAAAUAAAGACUGCAGACCAAGAAAGGAAAGAAAGGCUUUAGUCUAACAUAUUAAUGGACAGUGAUCAGCUUUGUAUUACUGAGUUAACAGUAUGUGAAAGUUUUUAAAACAAAAAUAUAUACUAUAUCAUAAAAGCUGCUGACACUGAGCCGUGAUGGAAUAACGAAAGUUCCAGCGCUAAUGAAAGUGGCUGUAACUCAAGCUGUGUGAUGCCUGGUGCCCAUCGACAUCCUUGGCAAAGGUUUAUUUGUGCUAUGUCCCAUUGACUGUACAUUUGGGUGUUUCUUCUGCAACUGGAGCUGCUGAUAAGAUACCUACUUGGAGUAAUGAUGCAUAAUGUGAAAAUGCAAUAACCUAGAACUCAUAAGUACGGACAAAUGCCAUCUCUUUAAAGGAAAUAGUUGCAAAAGUGAAGUGCAAUGUGCUGAGCCAUCUUCAAAGUCUUAGCCCUUUUCAUCAUUGCUGGGACAAAAUACCUGACAACUACAACUUCAAGGAAGAGAGAUUUUCAGUCCAUAAUUUGCUGGAUCCAAGGCAGGAUGCCAUGGCCUGGGGCAUAGUGGAAGAAAAGCUGCUUACAUAAUGGUGACAGAAAGCAGCAAGGGAAAGGAAGAACCAGGGGGGAAAUAUACCCUUUUGGUAACACCCCUAGUGACCCCACCUCCUAACAGCAAGUUAGCUAUCCUGGCCCCAUAAUUCAAUUAUUUUCUAAAAGUACCACCUAGGAGCAUAUGAACCUCUUGGAGGACAUUGUCUAUAAACCAUAACACUUCCUUUUCAAUUGUUUACUGAAUGAUUUCAACAACUUUUUUUUAGAAAAAAAAAUUAGGUCUUUUAAAGGAUAGUCCAAGUCAUUGCUGCCAGCUAGGAUACCAUAGGAGAAUUGGAUAACUCCAAGAGACUCCCUAUAGCUCCAUGUACAGAUAUGGGAAGGAAGGGGGCCUAGAAUGUGGAAUUAAUAGUGAGAGGCCAUAUAGAAAGCAGCAUUUCCUGGAAUUUCAUGCAAAGUAACUAAAUAUUAGUGGUAUAGUCUUAAGUCUGGAGUUGAGAGUCAGAAUUCAGAGGAAGCAUGGUAGGAGUGAAAUGGGAUCUCUCUUUUUUAUAGGAUGGAACCUAAGCAAUGGCCUUGGAUUGAAAACAAAGGGGAAAAGUCAUGGUAGUAUGGAUAAAGUUACAGAUCUCAAUCUGUACAGGCCUAUCUUUCAGAUCUCAGAACAGGACAUAAGGUUACUUAAAACCAAAUUUUACUGCAUCAGGCAAAAUAUUAUUAGUUUCAAAGAUCCCUUCUUCUCCAGUGCAAAUUGGUCUGGGAAAUAAAUUUCAUGUAGAAAUCGGGCAUGGGAAGUGGAGGCAAGUGGAACGUAAGGAUUAUGUUUUAAGUUAAAAUAUAGUUAACAAUACAGAUAAACUAGUUCAGAUAGUUACAGACAAAGCUCUUUCCUUACUACAGUGAUGCAGAGGCACUACUGGUGCUCUAUCUAGUUACCUGCAGUCCCUUUCACUGCUCUGUUGCACUACUGCAUGCUCUGCUGCUUCUCCUUGGGAUGACCUUGGCUGAUGGAAUCAUUUCCCAGGUGGCAGGCACACUCUGUUGCAUAUUUUAUGCUCUAGUGAUCGCUACUUGAGGUUGAGCUGGGGUUUAUUUGAUGUUGUACCCUAUCUGAUGUCCUCUUCCACUGCCUCACUCUUUUUCCUAGAACUUUCUUAAUUCUUCUGUCUUCUUAUUCUCAAACUCACCUGAGUCUUUCUCUCACAUUAUGUUUCCAGCAAAAUAUCCCUACUUAGGGAAAUGGUAAAGAUAUAAUCAUAGGAACAUAGAUUCUAUGCCAUAGAGAGUUAAUUGUAGGUUUGAGAAUGCAACAGCAUUUGGAUGUAUCAGAUGCUUUGUUGUAAAGCUCUCUAUUUUGGUUGUUUUUUCAUGAUUGGACUGUCAAAUACAAUUUCAGUCUUAUUGUCAUUACCACAGUUUAGCUUUUGACUCUGUGUUUGGUGACUCACAAACUUAGCUUAGAAAUAGAAUACUCCUUUCCAAGCAACCUCUUUUAUAUAAAAACAGAAUCAAGCAAUAUUAGCCUCUUGCUAUUGUGUACUUACCUUUGUAUUCAAUAAUCCUUCCAUACUGCAGUACUGUUGUUCCCAGUUUAUUACUGAAAAUUUAAUAGUAUUUAAUUAAAAUCUGGAAAUGUGCUUUCAAUUCUAUUACCCUAAAAAGUAGGGGAAAGAAAGGCUCAUCUUUACCAUUUGCAUUAUACUGGAAAUUGUUAAACACUUAAUCUUCUUGCAUAGUGGUUCUGUGCUUUUAAGAGGAUUACAUUAUUAAUUGUUUAAUUAUUCAUUAUGCUGCAUUUUGCCUUUCAGUACAAAAGCUUUUUUUAAAAUUAAUUUAAUGUUUUAUCCUUCUUAGCAGUCAUUCUUUGUACUGGGCUCUCUGUUCUUUCAUGAUAGGAUGUCGUACAAAGAAUCAAGAGGAUACCUUGUUGAAAGCUAAGCUUGUAGUUCUAGCAAAUAGAUCUUUUGCCAGAGCAAUGACUCAACAUGCCACCAAGCAACUGAGUCUUGCUGCACUCUAGAGACUGUGGUUAGAAAUAUGUCACCAGCAAGAGCACAUUAAUCAUAAUUGUAGGAGUGGCAGUCAGUUUCUCGACCUUAUUGAGAUAGGCAGGGAGGUCAGUGCUUCAGGCAGUUCAUCCUUCAAGCAAGGAAAAUUAUUGGGAAGAUUUUUUUGUUUUGUUUUAAUCACUGGCAUUUUUUUAAAAUCCCAUCAUUUCCCCGCAGUCUGGGCAGAAGUACAAAAGCUUCAGGCAGCUACAGUCUGGCUCUUUUUCUUUUUCUCUUGCCAAAAGUAACCUUGACAAUUGAUGGGUUAGGGCAAAGUUAUGAUGCCCACUUUCGGCUGUUUUUUGUCAUCCGACCUGCCUUCUUUUGCUCUUUUUUUCUUUCUUCAUACCUCUUUUGGGGUCUAAAGACAAAGAGGGUAGAAAGAGUGACCUUAAUGGAGUCUGAUGUUAGCAGCCCUGCUCGUUUUUCUGCAUUGAUUGUAGGGGCAUACAGCAAGCAGAGUUCUUCCCACAGUGGUCAGUCCUGCGAGGCCAAGUAGAAGAGAGCUAGUGCUGCCACUGGAGCCUGUCCCAUGGCAGUGCCUUCUGUCCAGCACCCUAGAGGAGACGUCAUAAAAGAAAAACACCCAAGAUGACAAGAACUCAAAGACCUAAGCUUGUAUAUCUGAGUCCAUAGUAGGAUGUUGAAUAAAAAUUGACUUCAUACAGAAAGAAGUCAUACUAAUAUUAUAACAAAAGACAUUUAAAAUUAACAACUCCAUGUGUGAAGGGAGAUUUCAGUCAUUCAUUUGUGUUAUUACUAUACCAGGCUCAUAGCACGGUCUUAGGGAAGCCGAGUUUAAGAAGCAGGACAUGGGCUUAUAUUUGUAGUGUUUAUAUAUUCUUGGUGAAUGGGAGACGGGUAGAUAAGUAAAAAUAGAAAAAAAUUUAAAAUUGUGAUAAUAAUAGUAAUUCGAAAGUGACAUGAGAGAGCAUGGUGAGGGGCUUAGGAACUGCUACCCUAAGAAACUAUAAUAUAAAUACAUGUUUACAAAUACUUUAUUGAAAUUUUCAGAUGAUUCUGAAUGUUUUAAUUUAUCAAUAAAAGAUAAUCGAUA